AGCGAACGCUGGCGGCAGGCUUAACACAUGCAAGUCGAGCGGGCACUUUCGGGUGUCAGCGGCCGACGGGUGAGUAACGCGUGGGAACGUGCCCUUUGGUUCGGAAUCACUCAGGGAAACUUGAGCUAAUACCGGAUACGCUCUUUUGGGGAAAGGCUUGCUGCCGGAGGAUCGGCCCGCGUCUGAUUAGCUAGUUGGUGAGGUAACGGCUCACCAAGGCGACGAUCAGUAGCUGGUCUGAGAGGAUGAUCAGCCACACUGGGACUGAGACACGGCCCAGACUCCUACGGGAGGCAGCAGUGGGGAAUAGUGGACAAUGGGCGCAAGCCUGAUCCAGCCAUGCCGCGUGAGUGAUGAAGGCCUUAGGGUUGUAAAGCUCUUUUAUCCAGGACGAUAAUGACGGUACCGGAGGAAUAAGCCCCGGCUAACUUCGUG
RNAcentral lists this ribosomal RNA (435 nucleotides) under uncultured bacterium. RNAcentral describes it as "partial 16S ribosomal RNA". It matches the Rfam family "Bacterial small subunit ribosomal RNA", at positions 29 to 507 of the family's 1533-position model. The record is from RNAcentral.